ACCUUAGUAACGGCGAGUGAAGCGGUAAUAGCUCAAAUUUGAAAUCUUACUGUUUUACAGUACGAAUUGUAAUUUGUAGAGGAUGUUUUUGAGUAAUUAUCUUUCUAAGUUUCUUGGAACAGAACGUCAUAGAGGGUGAGAAUCCCGUAUGUGAUUGAUUAAUUCUCUAUACAAAACUCCUUCGAAGAGUCGAGUUGUUUGGGAAUGCAGCUCUAAAUGGGAGGUAAAUUUCUUCUAAAGCUAAAUAUCUGCCAGAGACCGAUAGCGCACAAGUAGAGUGAUCGAAAGAUGAAAAGCACUUUGAAAAGAGAGUUAAAAAGCACGUGAAAUUGUUGAAAGGGAAGCAUUUAAGAUUAGACUUGUUGAUGAUAUUCGCUUGGUUCUUGAACUGAGUUAUUUGUUAUUAACAGGCCAACAUCAUUUUUAUUUCUUGGAUAAUAAUACUGGAAUGUAGCUCCUCGGAGUGUUAUAGCCAAUGUUGAUACAAGAUAAUGAGAAUGAGGUCCGCGAUUCGUCUAGGAUGUUGGCGUAAUGAUCUUAAGUGGCCCGUCUUGAAACACGGACCAAGGAGUCGAUCAAUUAUGCGAGUUUUCGGGUGUUAAACCCUUGAGCGUAAUGAAAGUGAACGGAGGUGAGAGUCGCAAGACGCAUCAUCGACCGAUCCUGAUGUCUUCGGAUGGAUUUGAGUAAGAGCAUAAUUGAUCGGACCCGAAAGAUGGUGAACUAUGCGUGAAUAGGGUGAAGCCAGAGGAAACUCUGGUGGAGGCUCGCAGCGGUUCUGACGUGCAAAUCGAUCGUCAAAUUUGCGUAUAGGGGCGAAAGACUAAUCGAACCAUUGGUUAUCAGUACUAGGUGGUUAAGAGGGACGUAAAAGGCGAGCCCUAGUCUUGACAACUGAGAAGGGAGUUGUUGAGGCGACACCGUCAAAUUGUUCGGGGACCUCCUAAAGCUCAAUAGACCAAAUCAUUAUCGAA
RNAcentral lists this ribosomal RNA (974 nucleotides) under Dothideomycetes sp. 6 GS-2016. Its description in RNAcentral is "eukaryotic LSU rRNA". It matches the Rfam family "Eukaryotic large subunit ribosomal RNA", at positions 77 to 1379 of the family's 3401-position model. The record is from RNAcentral. Lineage: Eukaryota; Fungi; Ascomycota; Dothideomycetes.